Molecule: ribosomal RNA, 207 nt
Filed under: uncultured bacterium
Lineage: Bacteria
Description: partial 16S ribosomal RNA
Rfam family: Bacterial small subunit ribosomal RNA
Source: RNAcentral
UGCGCAGGCGGAUGGGUAGGUCGGGCGUGAAAUCCCACAGCUCAACUGUGGAACUGCGCUCGAAACUGCCCGUCUUGAGUAGAGAAGGGGAGAGUGGAACUCCAGGUGGAGCGGUGGAAUGCGUUGAUAUCUGGGGGAACGCCGGUGGCGAAAGCGGCUCUCUGGUCUCUUACUGACGCUGAGGCACGAAAGCCAGGGUAGCAAACG